AGCGAACGUUAGCGGCGGGCCUAACACAUGCAAGUCGAACGAGAAUGAGGGAGCAAUCCCUCUAGUAAAGUGGCGGACGGGUGCGUAACACGUGGGUAAUCUACCUUCCGGCGGGGGACAACAGUCCGAAAGGAUUGCUAAUACCGCAUACGUCAGCGAGGUCUACGGAUCUUGUUGGGAAAGAUGGCCUCUCCUUGGAAGCUGUCACCGGAAGAUGAGCCCGCGUCCCAUCAGCUAGUUGGCGAGGUAAUGGCUCACCAAGGCAUAGACGGGUAGCUGGUCUGAGAGGAUGAUCAGCCACACUGGGACUGCGACACGGCCCAGACUCCUACGGGUGGCAG
RNAcentral lists this ribosomal RNA (341 nucleotides) under uncultured Pseudomonadota bacterium. Its description in RNAcentral is "bacterial SSU rRNA". It matches the Rfam family "Bacterial small subunit ribosomal RNA", at positions 29 to 351 of the family's 1533-position model. The record is from RNAcentral. Lineage: Bacteria; Pseudomonadati; Pseudomonadota.